UACGGGGGGGGCAAGCGUUGUUCGGAAUUACUGGGCGUAAAGGGUUCGUAGGCGGCCAACUAAGUCAGACGUGAAAUCCCUCGGCUUAACCGGGGAACUGCGUCUGAUACUGGAUGGCUUGAGUUCGGGAGAGGGAUGCGGAAUUCCAGGUGUAGCGGUGAAAUGCGUAGAUAUCUGGAGGAACACCGGUGGCGAAGGCGGCAUCCUGGACCGACACUGACGCUGAGGGGCGAAAGCCAGGGGAGCAAACAGG
This 253-nucleotide ribosomal RNA is filed under the name uncultured bacterium. RNAcentral describes it as "partial 16S ribosomal RNA". It matches the Rfam family "Bacterial small subunit ribosomal RNA", at positions 524 to 776 of the family's 1533-position model. The record is from RNAcentral.